This 197-nucleotide ribosomal RNA is filed under the name uncultured bacterium. RNAcentral's name for it is "partial 16S ribosomal RNA". It matches the Rfam family "Bacterial small subunit ribosomal RNA", at positions 328 to 539 of the family's 1533-position model. The record is from RNAcentral.
ACGCUCGACACCUACGGGGGCAGCAGUGGGGAAUAUUGCACAAUGGGGGAAACCCUGAUGCAGCGACGCCGCGUGAGCGAAGAAGUAUCUCGGUAUGUAAAGCUCUAUCAGCAGGGAAGAAGAUGACGGUACCUGACUAAGAAGCACCGGCUAAAUACGUGCCAGCAGCCACGGUAAUCUGAGCGGGCUGGCAAGGC